CCACCUAAUACAUUAGCAUGGGAUAAUGGAAUAGGACCCUGUCCUCCUAUUUUCAGUUGGUUUUGGCAGCGCGAGGACUAGGGUAAUGAUUAAUAGGGAUAGUUGGGGGCAUUAAUAUUUAAUUGUCAGAGGUGAAAUUCUUGGAUUUAUGAAAGAUUAACUUCUGCGAAAGCAUCUGCCAAGGAUGUUUUCAUUAAUCAAGAACGAAAGUUAGGGGAUCGAAGACGAUCAGAUACCGUCGUAGUCUUAACCAUAAACGAUGCCGACCAGCGAUUAGGAGACGUUGAAUACAAAACACCACCAUCGGUGCGGUCGUCCUUGGCGUCGGUCUUUCGGGGCCGGCGCGGGGACGGCUUAGCCCGGUGGCACCGGUGAAUGACUCCCCUAGCAGCUUGU
RNAcentral lists this ribosomal RNA (396 nucleotides) under Acanthamoeba sp. UIC 6590. RNAcentral's name for it is "SSU rRNA". It matches the Rfam family "Eukaryotic small subunit ribosomal RNA", at positions 792 to 1091 of the family's 1831-position model. Lineage: Eukaryota; Discosea; Longamoebia; Acanthamoebidae. The record is from RNAcentral.